RNAcentral lists this ribosomal RNA (447 nucleotides) under uncultured bacterium. Its description in RNAcentral is "bacterial SSU rRNA". It matches the Rfam family "Bacterial small subunit ribosomal RNA", at positions 331 to 792 of the family's 1533-position model. The record is from RNAcentral.
CCAGACUCCUACGGGAGGCAGCAGUGGGGAAUAUUGGGCAAUGGAGGAAACUCUGACCCAGCAAUGCCGCGUGAAUGAAGAAGGUCUUCGGAUUGUAAAGUUCUUUAGUUAGGGAAGAAUAAAAUGACGGUACCUAAAGAAUAAGCCCCGGCUAACUACGUGCCAGCAGCCGCGGUAAUACGUAGGGGGCAAGCGUUAUCCGGAUUUACUGGGUGUAAAGGGAGCGUAGACGGCGGAACAAGUCAGAAGUGAAAACCCGGGGCUCAACCCUGGGAGUGCUUUUGAAACUGUUUGGCUGGAGUGCAGGAGAGGUAAGCGGAAUUCCUAGUGUAGCGGUGAAAUGCGUAGAUAUUAGGAGGAACACCAGUGGCGAAGGCGGCUUACUGGACUGUAACUGACGUUGAGGCUCGAAAGCGUGGGGAGCAAACAGGAUUAGAUACCCGAGUA